This 235-nucleotide long non-coding RNA is filed under the name Ananas comosus (pineapple). RNAcentral describes it as "long non-coding RNA (ACOM_LNC019071)". Lineage: Eukaryota; Viridiplantae; Streptophyta; Magnoliopsida; Poales; Bromeliaceae. The record is from RNAcentral.
AAGUAUUAUAUUGAUAUUUUUAAAUUAAAUAUAACGAAUCUACACUCUAAUUCUUCUUUUAAACCUAGGUACAAUAACAGAAAGAAACAUAAUAAUUCAAUCACCGUAUUUAAAACACGUUGAUUGAAUUAUCGUAUUCAACUUAAAAAUACUAUCUAGAUGCUCGCGUAGAAGAGAACUAGUUAUAUAAAUAAAAAUUUAUUAGGAUAAUUUAUAAAAUAAAAAAUUUUGAGGA